UACGUAGGGUGCGAGCGUUGUCCGGAAUUACUGGGCGUAAAGAGCUCGUAGGUGGUUUGUCGCGUUGUUCGUGAAAACUCACAGCUCAACUGUGGGCGUGCGGGCGAUACGGGCAGACUAGAGUACUGCAGGGGAGACUGGAAUUCCUGGUGUAGCGGUGAAAUGCGCAGAUAUCAGGAGGAACACCGGUGGCGAAGGCGGUUCUCUGGGCCUUACCUGACGCUGAGGAGCGAAAGCGUGGGGAGCAAACAGG
Molecule: ribosomal RNA, 253 nt
Filed under: uncultured bacterium
Lineage: Bacteria
Description: partial 16S ribosomal RNA
Rfam family: Bacterial small subunit ribosomal RNA
Source: RNAcentral